AUCCAGAUGACGGGUGCCACAUUGGACGAAAUGCGCAUCCUAGCUGGAU
Molecule: non-coding RNA, 49 nt
Filed under: Trichobilharzia regenti
Lineage: Eukaryota; Metazoa; Platyhelminthes; Trematoda; Strigeidida; Schistosomatidae
Source: RNAcentral